UAGGGAAUCUUCGGCAAUGGACGAAAGUCUGACCGAGCAACGCCGCGUGAGUGAAGAAGGUUUUCGGAUCGUAAAACUCUGUUGUUAGAGAAGAACAAGGACGUUAGUAACUGAACGUCCCCUGACGGUAUCUAACCAGAAAGCCACGGCUAACUACGUGCCAGCAGCCGCGGUAAUACGUAGGUGGCAAGCGUUGUCCGGAUUUAUUGGGCGUAAAGCGAGCGCAGGCGGUUUCUUAAGUCUGAUGUGAAAGCCCCCGGCUCAACCGGGGAGGGUGAUUGGAAACUGGGAGACUUGAGGGCAGAAGAGGAGAGUGGAAUUCCAUGUGUAGCGGUGAAAUGCGUAGAUAUAUGGAGGAACACCAGUGGCGAAGGCGGCUCUCUGGUCUGUAACUGACGCUGAGGCUCGAAAGCGUGGGGAGCAAACAGG
RNAcentral lists this ribosomal RNA (429 nucleotides) under Gemmatimonadota bacterium. RNAcentral's name for it is "Gemmatimonadetes bacterium partial 16S ribosomal RNA". It matches the Rfam family "Bacterial small subunit ribosomal RNA", at positions 355 to 776 of the family's 1533-position model. The record is from RNAcentral. Lineage: Bacteria; Pseudomonadati; Gemmatimonadota.